RNAcentral lists this transfer RNA (73 nucleotides) under Cavia porcellus (domestic guinea pig). It matches the Rfam family "tRNA". From Rfam's summary of the family: Transfer RNA (tRNA) molecules are approximately 80 nucleotides in length. Their secondary structure includes four short double-helical elements and three loops (D, anti-codon, and T loops). Lineage: Eukaryota; Metazoa; Chordata; Mammalia; Rodentia; Caviidae. The record is from Rfam by way of RNAcentral.
GGGGAUUUAGCUCAGCGGCAUAAGCACCUGCCUUGCAAACAGGCAGUCGUGAAAGUCGUGAAUUCAAUCCCCG